Molecule: ribosomal RNA, 1576 nt
Filed under: Salmonella enterica
Lineage: Bacteria; Pseudomonadati; Pseudomonadota; Gammaproteobacteria; Enterobacterales; Enterobacteriaceae
Also listed under: 1 other name
Description: partial 23S ribosomal RNA
Rfam family: Bacterial large subunit ribosomal RNA
Source: RNAcentral
UAAGCCUGUGAAGGUGGCCUGUGAGGGUUGCUGGAGGUAUCAGAAGUGCGAAUGCUGACAUAAGUAACGAUAAAGCGGGUGAAAAGCCCGCUCGCCGGAAGACCAAGGGUUCCUGUCCAACGUUAAUCGGGGCAGGGUGAGUCGACCCCUAAGGCGAGGCCGAAAGGCGUAGUCGAUGGGAAACGGGUUAAUAUUCCCGUACUUGGUGUUACUGCGAAGGGGGGACGGAGAAGGCUAUGUUGGCCGGGCGACGGUUGUCCCGGUUUAAGCGUGUAGGUGUGUGUUCCAGGUAAAUCCGGUUCACUUUAACACUGAGGCGUGACGACGAGGCACUACGGUGCUGAAGCAACAAAUGCCCUGCUUCCAGGAAAAGCCUCUAAGCAUCAGGUAACAUCAAAUCGUACCCCAAACCGACACAGGUGGUCAGGUAGAGAAUACCAAGGCGCUUGAGAGAACUCGGGUGAAGGAACUAGGCAAAAUGGUGCCGUAACUUCGGGAGAAGGCACGCUGACAUGUAGGUGAAGUGAUUUACUCAUGGAGCUGAAGUCAGUCGAAGAUACCAGCUGGCUGCAACUGUUUAUUAAAAACACAGCACUGUGCAAACACGAAAGUGGACGUAUACGGUGUGACGCCUGCCCGGUGCCGGAAGGUUAAUUGAUGGGGUCAGCGCAAGCGAAGCUCCUGAUCGAAGCCCCGGUAAACGGCGGCCGUAACUAUAACGGUCCUAAGGUAGCGAAAUUCCUUGUCGGGUAAGUUCCGACCUGCACGAAUGGCGUAAUGAUGGCCAGGCUGUCUCCACCCGAGACUCAGUGAAAUUGAACUCGCUGUGAAGAUGCAGUGUACCCGCGGCAAGACGGAAAGACCCCGUGAACCUUUACUAUAGCUUGACACUGAACAUUGAGCCUUGAUGUGUAGGAUAGGUGGGAGGCUUUGAAGCGUGGACGCCAGUCUGCGUGGAGCCGACCUUGAAAUACCACCCUUUAAUGUUUGAUGUUCUAACGUGGACCCGUAAUCCGGGUUGCGGACAGUGUCUGGUGGGUAGUUUGACUGGGGCGGUCUCCUCCUAAAGAGUAACGGAGGAGCACGAAGGUUGGCUAAUCCUGGUCGGACAUCAGGAGGUUAGUGCAAUGGCAUAAGCCAGCUUGACUGCGAGCGUGACGGCGCGAGCAGGUGCGAAAGCAGGUCAUAGUGAUCCGGUGGUUCUGAAUGGAAGGGCCAUCGCUCAACGGAUAAAAGGUACUCCGGGGAUAACAGGCUGAUACCGCCCAAGAGUUCAUAUCGACGGCGGUGUUUGGCACCUCGAUGUCGGCUCAUCACAUCCUGGGGCUGAAGUAGGUCCCAAGGGUAUGGCUGUUCGCCAUUUAAAGUGGUACGCGAGCUGGGUUUAGAACGUCGUGAGACAGUUCGGUCCCUAUCUGCCGUGGGCGCUGGAGAACUGAGGGGGGCUGCUCCUAGUACGAGAGGACCGGAGUGGACGCAUCACUGGUGUUCGGGUUGUCAUGCCAAUGGCACUGCCCGGUAGCUAAAUGCGGAAGAGAUAAGUGCUGAAAGCAUCUAAGCACGAAACUUGCCCCGA